AGAUGUGGGUUAAGUCCGUAACGAGCGCAACCUUGUCCUUAGUUACCUAGCACGUUAUGGUGGGCACUCUAAGGAGACUGCCGGUGCAAACCGGAGGAAGUGGGGAUGACGUCAAGUCAUCAUGGCCCUUACGGCCUGGGCUACACACGUGCGUACAAUGGUCGGUACAAAGGGUUGGCCAAGCCGCGAGGUGGAGCUAAUCCCAUAAAACCGAUCGUAGUCCGGAUCGCAGUCUGCAACUCGACUGCGUGAAGUCGGAAUCGCUAGUAAUCGUGAACCAGAAUGUCACGGUGAAUACGUUCCCGGGCCUU
RNAcentral lists this ribosomal RNA (311 nucleotides) under uncultured Pseudomonas sp. RNAcentral describes it as "bacterial SSU rRNA". It matches the Rfam family "Bacterial small subunit ribosomal RNA", at positions 1070 to 1382 of the family's 1533-position model. Lineage: Bacteria; Pseudomonadati; Pseudomonadota; Gammaproteobacteria; Pseudomonadales; Pseudomonadaceae. The record is from RNAcentral.